RNAcentral lists this ribosomal RNA (301 nucleotides) under uncultured bacterium. RNAcentral describes it as "partial 16S ribosomal RNA". It matches the Rfam family "Bacterial small subunit ribosomal RNA", at positions 509 to 809 of the family's 1533-position model. The record is from RNAcentral.
CAGCCGCCGCGGGAAUACGGAGGAUCCAAGCGUUAUCCGGAAUCAUUGGGUUUAAAGGGUCCGUAGGCGGUCUUGUAAGUCAGUGGUGAAAGCCCAUCGCUCAACGGUGGAACGGCCAUUGAUACUGCAGGACUUGAAUUAUUGGGAAGUAACUAGAAUAUGUAGUGUAGCGGUGAAAUGCUUAGAGAUUACAUGGAAUACCAAUUGCGAAGGCAGGUUACUACCAAUUGAUUGACGCUGAUGGACGAAAGCGUGGGUAGCGAACAGGAUUAGAUACCCCUGUAGUCCCUGUCUCUUAUAA